Molecule: ribosomal RNA, 162 nt
Filed under: Triticum aestivum (bread wheat)
Lineage: Eukaryota; Viridiplantae; Streptophyta; Magnoliopsida; Poales; Poaceae
Description: partial small subunit ribosomal RNA
Source: RNAcentral
AUGUUUCCCGAGAGAGACUGCCUUCUCUUAGGCCAGCAGUCUUAUACUUAUAGUCGACUGCUCUAUGAUGAUCUGACCUCUUUCCUGGGCUCUGCUUGCUCGUCUACGCUCCGACCAAUUCAGUCAAAAUCGAAAAAAUGUUGUUUCCUUGAAAAAGUCUAA